CGCACCGAGUCGACGCUAACAGUUAUAGGCUCCUUUAGUUUUUCCAAUGCGUGAGAAAAUCGAUGCAUGGCGUGAGGGCGUGUGACAAGUGUCAAUUGCGUGAGUCUCAAGCUCAGUGCGUGAGAGUUGGCAGCUCUGCGUUUAAUUUGGAGAUAACCAGCCACUGCUAACCUUGCCAGCAGCCCCGCUUGAUCUAACGUUACUACGCACUAUGCAGUGAGUGAGAUAAUUGCAAACUGUGCAGUGUAACCUUAGCUAACAAGUUAUUAGCUAACAUUUAUGGGUUAACUGCCAAAACUAGACUAGAGAGAGACUGUGGAGAUUUUGACCCUAUACCACCAUUUGACUGAACACCACAAUGUUUCACAUACUGUCAGCACUGAGCAGAGUUAGUUAAUGUAACCAGGCCACAGCCGAGGUUAACCUUGAUUUUGUAGUGUGGCUAAUUAGCAGAAUAAACUGUUAAGUGGCUACAGCUGGUUCAAAAUUCUGCAGCACCACUGUCACAGUAGUGUUAUGUUAAAUUUGCUAUUUGAAGUCGUAUACCCUAAUGAAAAAAACAACAACACUACAGCCAUCAGGAGGUGAAGGUUAACGGGGUUCCAGCUGCCUUCACCCAUUGUGAGUACUGGCUCCAGGCUCACACUGUGGCUACUGUCUGACUACGCGGUCAGUGGGCAGGGAUUUAAAGCUGUCUAUGAAGCAGUGUUUCAUAGCUGAAUGGGGGAAAAGCAUCUGUCCUGCUGAGCAAAAUCUCUCAAAUAUCCUAACUAAAGAAAGAAAACAAAGCCACGACUGGGACCUUUAUCAUGAUGACGUGGAAUGCUUUAUGACCCGUGGUGGGAUAAUAUUAAUGAUGGCACUCGUCAAACCCACGCAGGAGUAAAGGCGAGCUUAGGGAGGGGAAGGAAAUACAAGCGAGUGACUAAUUAGGCUAAUUACCUGACAGGAGUUUGUCAGUCUUUUUGAGAUAUUGUGAAUGUAGGGAUGUGGCUCGAUGAAGCAACAUCAAGCGACUCGGGAGGCCUAAGACCACAUUGCGUGACUAGAUAAAACCAAAGACAAAAGAGCAAAGAGACUGUUUGUUAACUCCACUGGGAGGCAAUUGGGGAGUCGUGCCUUUCAU
Molecule: long non-coding RNA, 1126 nt
Organism: Micropterus dolomieu (smallmouth bass)
Lineage: Eukaryota; Metazoa; Chordata; Actinopteri; Centrarchiformes; Centrarchidae
Exons: 4
Source: RefSeq, a predicted model, not a curated record